CUGCCGAUAAGUUGUGAUAAGACAAUAAUUCACGCGUUAAGGCUAGCGGAAUUGAUCAUCUUUUCGUAUAACGAUAGAAAUGAAACAUUGUUUUAAUUAAAGAGUGGAAAAGAUGAUCAUUGGAAAUAUUCAUAAUCUUCAGCCGUGGCUACCCCAGGAGUUACGCCAGGCGAUUGA
RNAcentral lists this unclassified non-coding RNA (177 nucleotides) under uncultured fungus. Its description in RNAcentral is "sequence contains ITS1". The record is from RNAcentral. Lineage: Eukaryota; Fungi.